Molecule: ribosomal RNA, 526 nt
Filed under: Meyerozyma guilliermondii
Lineage: Eukaryota; Fungi; Ascomycota; Pichiomycetes; Serinales; Debaryomycetaceae
Description: eukaryotic LSU rRNA
Rfam family: Eukaryotic large subunit ribosomal RNA
Source: RNAcentral
AAAUCUGGCGCCUUCGGUGUCCGAGUUGUAAUUUGAAGAUUGUAACCUUGGGGUUGGCUCUUGUCUAUGUUUCUUGGAACAGGACGUCACAGAGGGUGAGAAUCCCGUGCGAUGAGAUGCCCAAUUCUAUGUAAGGUGCUUUCGAAGAGUCGAGUUGUUUGGGAAUGCAGCUCUAAGUGGGUGGUAAAUUCCAUCUAAAGCUAAAUAUUGGCGAGAGACCGAUAGCGAACAAGUACAGUGAUGGAAAGAUGAAAAGAACUUUGAAAAGAGAGUGAAAAAGUACGUGAAAUUGUUGAAAGGGAAGGGUUUGAGAUCAGACUCGAUAUUUUGUGAGCCUUGCCUUCGUGGCGGGGUGACCCGCAGCUUAUCGGGCCAGCAUCGGUUUGGGCGGUAGGAUAAUGGCGUAGGAAUGUGACUUUACUUCGGUGAAGUGUUAUAGCCUGCGUUGAUGCUGCCUGCCUAGACCGAGGACUGCGAUUUUAUCAAGGAUGCUGGCAUAAUGAUCCCAAACCGCCCGUCUUGAAAC